RNAcentral lists this long non-coding RNA (417 nucleotides) under Cricetulus griseus (Chinese hamster). RNAcentral's name for it is "lncRNA (ENSCGRG00015035502.1)". Lineage: Eukaryota; Metazoa; Chordata; Mammalia; Rodentia; Cricetidae. The record is from RNAcentral.
CUGAGCUCUGCACUGGCAGGAACCUAAAGCUGCUAUCAAAGGCAAGACAGAGCAGAGGGCUGGGCUUUAAAGGAAGACUGCGGAGUCAGGAGUUUUCUCUCCAGUUCCUCUUUUCCGAGAGAGUGCUACCUGCCAGAAAGGCACCUCCAGCUCCCCAACCCCCAAUCUUCUUCAGGCAAAAGCUAUCUCCAGAAAAUCAACCUCCAGAGUUGGGGCCCUGCUUUCCUUCCAUCCCUGGUGAGAUGUGGGAACUGACUGGACAGGCAGGGCAAGGCAAGGCCUUCUCUGUGUGUCCAUUUGCAUGUUUGAUUCUGCACUGCUUCCUGUUGUCAUCUUCUGCACUGUGUCUACCACGAAGAACUAUUUGAAGAAUACUUCUGAAGGAAAGCAACAGAUAGAGAGUAAGGAAAUAAGAAC